Helicoverpa armigera (cotton bollworm) is the source of this 1170-nucleotide long non-coding RNA. RefSeq lists it as uncharacterized. The transcript has 2 exons. NCBI's taxonomy places the organism in Eukaryota, Metazoa, Arthropoda, Insecta, Lepidoptera, Noctuidae. The record is from RefSeq and is a predicted model, not a curated record.
UCAACCGAGAUAGUUUUCAUCCGCUCAUUAAUGCGGUGUCUCUCUGCAGACAGCAUAGUCUUUAACUUUGAGCUAAACAUAUUAAUCGGCAAAGGUAUUCAAUCUGUGAGGCAGGACUGAGGCAGCGUGUUGGUAAGCACAUGUAUAGAUAGCUCUGCAUCAUCAACUUUCCGUGAUUGCUCGUCGUUGGUCACCGUACGCAUUCCGUGUGUCUACAGUCGACUGGUCCAGUAUGUCCCGACGGUAGCUAUGCGUUGAGGGUCGAUUAUUUGAUUGAAAUAAACACAAGUGAGUUGGUGCGAGCUGGUGGCAUGACCUUCGUGCGCGGUGCGCAGGCGCCGCGGCGACGCCUAGCUACGCAAUAAUCCUCGCUUAUCCCCGAAUUUAUGUCAAUAAUGUGAGGUAGGUAUGAAGGUGCGCUUUAAACAAUAAUUAUUGUAUUUACGAUACAUAUCUUAACAAUAAAAAAUCGAUAAGUGUAAUGCGUUGCGCUAUCUUAUCAAUUAGAGGCUUACUUGAGACAUCGAUCAUCGGUCUAAUUACCUGCGAUAAUGUUAAUCAUGGGAGAGCGCCUCACGUCCUCCACCCUGUGACGCGCGCCUCGCCAGUGCCUCGCCAGUGCCUCGCCAGCGCCUCGCCACCGCCUCGCCACCGCCUCGCCUCGCCAGCUAAGCUCAUCACCUCUCUAGCACAACACCGUCGCGGUAUAAAUAUCAUCUCACUAUACAACAGAUCAAACUUUCGACGUUCACCUCAUCACCAAUCAGAUUUCAUCGUCAGUGACACGUAAAGCUUCUGCUAAACGAGCACCGACAGAUCAGUCACUCACGUGUCUCCUCACUAUACUUCCUCGUAGAAGCCACUUCUACACUUAGUACAGUCGAGCACAGACUGUCGGCCGAUCAGCUCUGGCAUGUUAAAAACUCUAUUGAAACUUGGCUGCAAAACAGAUAUUUUUAACAUAAUCGCAAUAAGAUCUUACCUUCUGAUCGACAGUAUGAAAAUCACAACAAGUGAAAACAAUACCAUUUCCGCAGUUCAAUAAAGCUAAGGCAUUCGUAGACCCUGUGCGUAGCAGCUCGUAGUAGCGCGUAGUACGCCUACGAAAUUCGUAGUCGUCAUUUGCUACGACUUUAGUGUGCACAAAAUAUAAAUUUUAUUGUACUCUUU